This 374-nucleotide ribosomal RNA is filed under the name uncultured bacterium. RNAcentral describes it as "bacterial SSU rRNA". It matches the Rfam family "Bacterial small subunit ribosomal RNA", at positions 524 to 898 of the family's 1533-position model. The record is from RNAcentral.
UACGUAGGGUGCAAGCGUUAAUCGGAAUUACUGGGCGUAAAGCGUGCGCAGGCGGUUUGUUAAGACAGUCGUGAAAUCCCCGGGCUUAACCUGGGAACUGCGAUUGUGACUGGCAAGCUAGAGUACGGCAGAGGGGGGUGGAAUUCCUGGUGUAGCAGCGAAAUGCGUAGAGAUCAGGAGGAACACCGAUGGCGAAGGCAGCCCCCUGGGCUAGUACUGACGCUCAUGCACGAAAGCGUGGGGAGCAAACAGGAUUAGAUACCCUGGUAGUCCACGCCCUAAACGAUGUCAAUUAGUUGUUGGUCCUUCAUUGGAUUAGUAACGAAGCUAACGCGUGAAAUUGACCGCCUGGGGAGUACGGUCGCAAGAUUAAA